ACAAGUCUUCACCGUGUAAGAAAGUGUGUGUUCUGGGCUGGAUGGUGGUGCUGCCGGAUGAUCCAGCUCAACCCAACAUCUUUCAGCUCAACCAUCCUGACAAAGGGAAUGUUUACAAGUUUCAGACUAGCGAUCGGUUCACUGCGAUCAUGUGGCACAAACACCUGGAGGAGGCCUGUCGGAGAAGAAGACCUCAGAUACCAGCGAAUCUCAUGUCGUUUGAGUAAACGGACUUGUGUAACUCUUGCCUGAAGACAUUUGUAAGGCCUACAGAGAUCGAGAAGAACGUGUUUGGUUCAGCAAAAGGAUGAAAAAAGAGCCAAAACCCUUCAAUACUGAAGAGUCCACUGAGCCAAAGGACUCGCUCUGAUCCACUGGCCCUCCGUGAGCCUCACGGACACAUCUAACAUCAGGAUGUCUGUUACAGAGCCGGACGUGGAGGUUUGCACACUAGUUCUGGUCAGUCUAGUAAAGGGUAUGGAAGGGAGGUAAAUCUGGCCCGUUCCAGCUCCAUCAUGUCUUCUCAGUGGAGACUUUUGGAUCUCAAGGUGUUUGUGUGGCUUCAGUGAAGUACAUUAUGGGAAUUAAAUUAAACAGAAGCUCGAGAUGGGUGUUUUUGUGGUGAUAUAAGUGAGUUUCAGUGUGAAAGAGAAAUCAUGCCGCCUGUAGCAUAAGAAUAAAAAGCCAAACUAACAGACAUUUGCUCCUACAAAGAGCCGUAACAAACAAACCACAGCUGGAUCAGGAAAAAAGAUGAAGACCUAAACCAGCUAAUGAUACUCACUGGUUAAGAGCCGUUUAGUUACAGACUAAUCAUAUCUGCUUUCAGCACAGUGAUUUUUACUUCUGGUUAAUGUUAUGAUGUGAUGAUGCUGUGAGUGUGACUUGCUGACAUCAGGGAUUCUGAAUACACUUUCUGUUUUACUCAUUUUAUACUCGUGAAAGCUUGUUUUGGGCUUUAAGUAUUAACAAAUUAUUAGGCCUUUCCUGUCAAAUGAAGGUUUUACUCACAACUCACAACUUAAACAGCGGAAAUAUGUUGUACAAAAGCAAAAGAUUUUUGUUUGUCACAUCUGAUAGGGUUCCUUGUACAUUAAUGAGACAAUACCAUUUUUAAAACGUGAGCUUAUUUUCCAUUCAGCCCAUCUCACAAAAACAAGAACUGCUUUUUUGAUGAACUUUUUUGAUAUCUCUGAAAUCCUAAACAUUCACGCUAAAUUACCGGGCGAAUCUCACAAAACCUGUCAAAAACUUGUCCGGGUCAUAUCUGACCCCAAAAUGAAUAG
This is a long non-coding RNA of Sinocyclocheilus rhinocerous, 1286 nucleotides long. RefSeq lists it as uncharacterized. NCBI's taxonomy places the organism in Eukaryota, Metazoa, Chordata, Actinopteri, Cypriniformes, Cyprinidae. The transcript is spliced from 3 exons. The record is from RefSeq and is a predicted model, not a curated record.